UAGACAAAAAAAGUCAGUAGUAGUUUGGUUUUGUAGAUUCUUAAAGAGACUAAUCUCUGAUGGUUGUAGACAGUCAUUUAUUGCAUAAACAUUUGUUGAGAAAGUUCCAGCUUAAGAAUCCUGAUACUGUGCUGGGUGUUUUGAAACAAGUGAUAAAUCUGAUGUAGCUCCUUGUUUGCAUCUAAAGGAGUUCUCAGGAAAGAAGGUGAAAUGAGACAGAGACAUUCCAGUCUACAACCCAAAGAAAAAAGAGUGCUUCCAGUCACUGAACUGAACUGGAAACCAAUCAACAAGGGAAACCAGGAGAUGCAGUCCUUGAAGAUCAGCCUCCUGGCCACAAGAAGGGCAGGGGAAGAGAAUACAUAGAUCUGUAGAGAAGAGUGGUGAUGGGAGCUGCCAAUAAAGAACUAUCAAAAGAGACUUUACACCAGGAAGAGUUCCUUUUAAAAUUGGCCUGGGAGGCAGAGGCCACAACAUACACAGUUCAACGACCGAAGUACACCACCCACCUCCCAUUCCCUGCUCUACAGGACCAUCUGACGUCCACAGUGACCCAAGUAGUGGCAUUCCAAGGACUCAGAUGACCACCUUCCUCACCCUUCAAUAGGGCUGCCCAAAAUUCUUUGAAGUGACACUUAUUGCUACACAUUAGGGCAUUUUUACCUCACAUUUCCCUUCGCCAAGAGCAAAAGCUUAUGGAAUGAUUGGCUUUUCAAUCUAAAGAGUGGGAGAGCCUGGGGGGUUGAAGAGAGUCUGUUUGACGGGAGGAGAAUGCCAGUCCAGAGGUGGGGCUUGGGGCAGGAGGGAGUGGGUAGCCAGAGUAAUAGGGGCUAUGAGGUUUGGAAGAUGUGGGAGAGGCACUCUGCAAAGACAGAGGGGAGAGGCACAGAGACAAGGACAAAGGUGGUUUGCUUGCUCCGACAGCUGAAUUCACCCAGACAGGCUUCUGGGUUCACAGUGCCACCCUGCCCCACAAGCCAUAGAGGGGAACUGGUUGAUGGAUCAACCUUGAGUGAGUCAGAUUCAUUUUUUUCAGAGCAAAAGAAAACACUGAAAAAAAAGAGCUUAGCUAAUGUUUCCAGGGCAGCUUCAGAAACGUAUAACGUAUAGGAAACGAGAGUAUUGAUCAUAUCAGACCCUCCAAAAUACUAAAAGUAUUUGAGUAAACACCAUGAUAAGACUUUGGGCUGUAGGACCGUGUCUCUGAGUUUGGGGCCUGUUCAAGAAGUCCUUGCAAGAAAGGAGAGUCAGUUUUACCUUUAGAAAACCUCCUGUCCUACUUUGUUAGUUUUUAACUUUAACAGACAAAAGUUCAAGUUCUUCAUCCCAAGUCAAGGUGAUGUGAGGAAACUAUGACUGUGAAUCUCACUGUCAUUUAUUUUUCUUCAGUAUGUCUCAGUGAUAAAAAUAUUUGGAUGAAUGACAGAAAGCAUCCUGAACUGUGCACCUGCAAAAGAUAUUUCACACAUUCCUUUUUGGACAUUUUGUUAUUUUCCUCUAAGCCGAAAGCCUUUCCAUCUUGUGCAGGAAAGAUCAUUAAGCAUUUCAAAAGUAUAAACAUUUCAUGUUCAAAACUUUUGGUACUUCAAUUGUCAUAUUGUUAUUGCACUAUAUAAAUCUAAAAUAAAAUGAACUUCUCUGUCCAGUACCUAUCAGCUGCAAUUUAAGGGAAGUGCCUUUAUAUUUAUACCCUAUGGGCCCAAUCAGGUAGAUAAGAGAAUUAUUCUUUAUUUUUUAUUUUUUUGUAGUUUGUUUGUAGAAAGUGAUUUAUUUAAAGAGAGAGAGAAACAGGAGAAGGAGAGAGAAGAAACAGCUAACUCUCACACUGAGUAAGAUAAUCUAGAAAGAUGGAAUCCAGGAGAGGAAAGCAGCUUCCACACUGAAUGGAAGGGAAUAGAGAGAGAUGGAGUUUAGGAGGGGGAGACAGGCUUCCACGAGAGAGUGUGGAAGAGGACUCCAGAGGGGAAAUUCAGGAGAGAGAAAGAUGGCUUCCAUGAAGGGAGUGUUUGUGAAAGGGAAUUCAAACAUGGAGUCCCGAGAAUUAUUCUUUAUCUUGUGUAAUGUCCCCAGAUUUCCCAGGUCACAAAUCACAGACAGGCAAUGUGGUAGCAUUCUUCUGGGUACUCAACAGAUAACUCCUCAAAGUACUUUUGUCAAUGUAAAUUUGUGAUCAGUGUGAAUCCUAAAAUGUUAGUAUUAAUAGUAUAGUUAUAUGUUUGCAUUAUGAAUCAUUUUUGUAAGUAACAUGUCAUUAUAUUAUCGCAAAAAUUCUGUCAAGUUCAAGGAUGCCAUCUCUCUCCACUCUUAUUCAAUAUAGUAUUGGAAGUUUUAACCAGAGCAAUCAGGCAAGGAAAAGAAAUAAAGGGUAUUCAAUUAGGAAAGGAGGAAGUCAAAGUCUCUCUAUUUGCAGACAACAUGAUUGUAUAUCUAGAAGACCCCAUCAUCUCAGCCCAAAAUCUUUUUAAGCUGAUAAGCAACUUCAGCAGUCUCAGAAUAGAAAAUCAAUGUGCAGAAAUCACAAGCAUUUCUAUGCACCAAUAACAGACUUAAAGAGAGCCAAAUCAAGAGUGAACUCCCAUUCACAAUGGCUACAAGAAGAAUUAAACACCUAAGAAUACAACUAACAAAGAAGGUAAUGGACCUCUUCAAGUAAAACUAUAAACCACUGCUCACAGAAAUAAGAGAAGACCGAAACAGAUGGAAAAACAUUCCAUGCUCAUGGUCAGGAAUAAUCAAUACUCUGAAAAUGGCCAUACUACCCAAUGUAAUUUAUAGAUUUAACACUAUCCCAUCAAACUACCAAUGACCUUCACAGAACUGGAAAAAACCACUUUAAACUUCAUAUGGAAUGAAAAAAGAGCCCACAUAUCCAAGAAAAUCCUAAGCAAAAAGAACAAAGCUGGAAGCAUCACGCUGCUGGACUUCAAGCUAUAUUACAAGGCAACAGUAAUCAAGACAGCAUGGUACUGUUAUCAAAACAGAGAUAUAGACCAAUGGAACAGAACAGAGGCCUCUGGAGCAAAAUCACACAUCUACAACUAUCUGUUCUUUGACAAAUUGGACAAAAACAAGCAAUGGGGAAAGGAUCCCCUGUUUAAUAAAUGGUGUUGGGAAAAUUGGCUAGCAAUGUGCAGAAAGCAGAAACUGGACCCCUUCCUGACACCUUACACUAAAAUUCACUCCAGAGGGAUUAAGGACUUAAACAUAAGACCUAACACCAUAAAAACCCUAGAAGAAAACCUAGGCAAAACCAUUCAGAACAUAGGUAUAGGCAAGGACUUCAUGACUGAAUCACCAAAAGCAAUGGCAACAAAAGCCAAAAUAGACAAAUGGGAUCUAAUUUAACUUCAGAGCUUCUGUACAGCAAAAGAAACAAUCAUUUAAAGUGAACCAACAACCAACAGAAUGGGAAAAUAUUUUUUCAAUCUACCCAUCUGACAAAGGGCUAAUAUCCAGAAUCUACAAAGAACUGAAACAGAUUUACCAAAAAAAAAAAAACUAAUCCAAAAGUGGGAGAAGGGUAUGAACAGACACUUUUCAAAAGAAGACAUAUAUGAAGCCAACAAACAUAUGAAAAAAUGCUCAUCAUCACUGGUCAUUAGAGUAAUGCAAACCAAAACCACAUUGAGAUACAAACUCAUGCCAGUUAGAAUGGCAAUCAUUAAAAAAUCUGGAGACAACAGAUGCUGGAGAGGAUGUGGAGAAACAGGAACACUUUUACACUGUUGGUGAAAGUGUAAAUUAGUUCAACCAUUGUGGAAGACAGUGUGGCGAUCCCUCAAGGCUUUAGAAACAGAAAUUCCAUUUGCCCCAGCAAUCCCAUUACUAAGUAUAUACCCAAAGGACUAUAAAGCGUUCUAUUAUAAAGACACAUGCACACAUAUGUUCAUUGCAGCACUCUUUACAAUAGCAAAGACCUGGAACCAACCCAAAUGCCCAUCAGUGAUAGCCUGGACAAAGAAAAUGUGACACAUAUACACCAUGGAAUACUGUGUAGCCAUAAAAAACAAUAAGUUUGUGUCCUUUGUAGGGACAUGGCUGAAUCUGGAAACCAUCAUUCUCAGCAAACUGACACAAGAACAAAAAAUCAAACACUGCAUGUUCUGACUCACAGGCGGGUGUUGAACAAUGAGAACACUUGGACACAAGGAGGAGAGCAUCACACA
Callithrix jacchus (white-tufted-ear marmoset) is the source of this 4166-nucleotide long non-coding RNA. RefSeq lists it as uncharacterized. NCBI's taxonomy places the organism in Eukaryota, Metazoa, Chordata, Mammalia, Primates, Cebidae. The record is from RefSeq and is a predicted model, not a curated record.